GGGCUUGACAUCCCACGAACCUGCCCGAAAAGGUGGGGUGCCCGCAAGGGAGCGUGGAGACAGGUGGUGCAUGGCUGUCGUCAGCUCGUGUCGUGAGAUGUUGGGUUAAGUCCCGCAACGAGCGCAACCCUCACCCCUAGUUGCCACCGGGUUAAGCCGAGCACUCAAGGGGAACUGCCAGCGUCAAGCUGGAGGAAGGCGGGGAUGACGUCAAGUCAUCAUGCCCCUUACGCCCUGGGCUACACACGUGCUACAAUGGCCAGUACAAAGGGACGCGAGACUGCGAAGUGGAGCUAACCCCAAAAAGCUGGUCUAAGUUCAGAUUGCAGUCUGCAACUCGACUGCAUGAAGGAGGAAUCGCUAGUAAUCGCGUAUCAGCCCGGCGCGGUGAAUACGUUCCCGGGCCUUGUACACACCGCCCGUCACACCACGAAAGCUGUCUGUACUCGAAGUCGCUGAG
Molecule: ribosomal RNA, 460 nt
Filed under: uncultured Methylomirabilota bacterium
Lineage: Bacteria; Methylomirabilota (SeqCode)
Description: bacterial SSU rRNA
Rfam family: Bacterial small subunit ribosomal RNA
Source: RNAcentral